Molecule: long non-coding RNA, 1102 nt
Organism: Asterias rubens (European starfish)
Lineage: Eukaryota; Metazoa; Echinodermata; Asteroidea; Forcipulatida; Asteriidae
Exons: 2
Source: RefSeq, a predicted model, not a curated record
CGUGGUUGUUUUUGUUUAGCGCGAUUCGCUUGUCAAAACGCGUGACGUCAUUGUUUAUUAAAAGGACGGCAGCUAAAACUCGCCUGUUGUUGAAGUCGUGACGUACUGAAAAACCUGUUUGUUGAUUGGCUAGGAGAAUACCAGCCGUUUAUUUUUUAGGGGGAUUGUCUUAGUUACGUGUAGUAUAGUCUUUUUUCAAUCUAAGUGGGCUUGUUCGCUGAACUUCUUGACUUAGAGACUACCACGAAAAGUUCAAUGUGAGCGGCCAUGCGACGCGAAAUGUGACUGUUCCUGUUGUAAAAAACGACGUGAAGUUUGUAUCAUUUAAAAAAAGCCUGAGCAUUUUUUGUUGCUGUCUUCUAGCAAGUCUGUCAUCCAAUGACUUUUCCAAGUGGAUGUGUGAAUGACUGGGGCAACUUCUGCCUGAACCUCUGGUGUUGUGCCGACGUGAUGACGCCGCAUAAUCGCCAUCAACCGUUGAAUUGGAUCCUUCAUGCCAUGAACCACACGGCCUGUGCGGUUGAACUCUGUGUGAAUAAGUUCCCCGCCUUGUCCUAAAUCCAACUUUAAACUUAGUAAGCUGCUGUACUGCAUGAUCUUCGAGGAGAUGCAUCUUCGGUGAUGUGUUGACAUUAGGGAAUAGGUCACGGAACGCUGACAUAAACUCCUUAAUACAUACAUCUGUAAGAGAACACAAAUGCAACCAUCAAUGAUUUAGAUACAGCAAAUGAUUAUUUCAUCAUACGUGAAGUUAUGUACUGACAUGAAACAUGUGCAGCCAGGUAUACUGGUGUGUAGUUACCUAUAUGGUGAAUGUUAUGUGACGACAAAGGCUUUGCAUGGUUGAUGCCAUGGUGAACAUCAGCAAAUUUUAGAAAAAUUUCAUGGUAUUUCCUUCCAAUAUUUGCUGAAUCUCGCACUAGAUGUCUUGAGCAGCGAUGGUGAUGUCGUCUGUGAGGUUAUGAACAUCUGUGAGGUGAUGAACUGCUUAGGAACUGCAGUCAGAGGAUCAAUCACUUCAACCUGAAACAAAGAUAAAUACUGCAGAGAUUAACGUCAAGUCAAGAAAGUACUAUUGGAAUUGUGUUUUUUUUUCUUGUUG